This 82-nucleotide transfer RNA is filed under the name Pyxidicoccus parkwayensis. Its description in RNAcentral is "Pyxidicoccus sp. SCPEA002 tRNA-Leu". It matches the Rfam family "tRNA". From Rfam's summary of the family: Transfer RNA (tRNA) molecules are approximately 80 nucleotides in length. Their secondary structure includes four short double-helical elements and three loops (D, anti-codon, and T loops). Further hydrogen bonds mediate the characteristic L-shaped molecular structure. tRNAs have two regions of fundamental functional importance: the anti-codon, which is responsible for specific mRNA codon recognition, and the 3' end, to which the tRNAs corresponding amino acid is attached (by aminoacyl-tRNA synthetases). tRNAs cope with the degeneracy of the genetic code in two manners: having more than one tRNA (with a specific anti-codon) for a particular amino acid; and 'wobble' base-pairing, i.e. permitting non-standard base-pairing at the 3rd anti-codon position. The record is from RNAcentral. Lineage: Bacteria; Pseudomonadati; Myxococcota; Myxococcia; Myxococcales; Myxococcaceae. RNAcentral also lists the same sequence under 9 other names.
GCCCAGGUGGUGGAACUGGUAGACACACCAGCUUGAGGGGCUGGCGCCGCAAGGUGUGCGGGUUCGAAUCCCGCCUUGGGCA